This 497-nucleotide ribosomal RNA is filed under the name uncultured bacterium. RNAcentral's name for it is "partial 16S ribosomal RNA". It matches the Rfam family "Bacterial small subunit ribosomal RNA", at positions 28 to 507 of the family's 1533-position model. The record is from RNAcentral.
GACGAACGCUGGCGGCGUGCCUAAUACAUGCAAGUUGAGCGCUGAAGGUUGGUACUUGUACCAACUGGAUGAGCAGCGAACGGGUGAGUAACGCGUGGGGAAUCUGCCUUUGAGCGGGGGACAACAUUUGGAAACGAAUGCUAAUACCGCAUAAAAACUUUAAACACAAGUUUUAAGUUUGAAAGAUGCAAUUGCAUCACUCAAAGAUGAUCCCGCGUUGUAUUAGCUAGUUGGUGAGGUAAAGGCUCACCAAGGCGAUGAUACAUAGCCGACCUGAGAGGGUGGUCGGCCACAAUGGGACUGGGACACGGCCCAAACUUCUACGGGGGGCAGCAGUAGGGAAUCUUCGGCAAUGGACGAAAGUCUGACCGAGCAACGCCGCGUGAGUGAAGAAGGUUUUCGGAUCGUAAAACUCUGUUGGUAGAGAAGAACGUUGGUGAGAGUGGAAAGCUCAUCAAGUGACGGUAACUACCCAGAAAGGGACGGCUAACUACGUG